RNAcentral lists this ribosomal RNA (591 nucleotides) under uncultured bacterium. Its description in RNAcentral is "bacterial SSU rRNA". It matches the Rfam family "Bacterial small subunit ribosomal RNA", at positions 13 to 597 of the family's 1533-position model. The record is from RNAcentral.
UUGAUCAUGGCUCAGAUUGAACGCUGGCGGCAGGCUUAACACAUGCAAGUUCGAGCGGAGAGAGGUAGCUUGCUACUGAUCUUAGCGGCGGACGGGUGAGUAAUACUUAGGAAUCUGGCUAUUAGUGGGGGACAACAUUUCGAACGGGAUGCUAAUACCGCAUACGUCCUACGGGAGAAAGCAGGGGAUCUUCGGACCUUGCGCUAAUAGAUGAGCCUAAGUCGGAUUAGCUAGUUGGUGGGGUAAAGGCCUACCAAGGCGACRAUCUGUAGCGGGUCGGAGAGGAUGAUCCGCCACACUGGGACUGARACACGGCCCAGACUCCUACGGGAGGCAGCAGUGGGGAAUAUUGGACAAUGGGGGGAACCCUGAUCCAGCCAUGCCGCGUGUGUGAAGAAGGCCUUAUGGUUGUAAAGCACUUUAAGCGAGGAGGAGGGUACUGGUAUUAAUACUACCAGGUACUGGACGUUACUCGCARAAUAAGCACCGGCUAACUCUGUGCCAGCAGCCGCGGUAAUACAGAGGGUGCGAGCGUUAAUCGGAUUUACUGGGCGUAAAGCGUGCGUAGGCGGCUAAUUGAGUCGGAUGUGA